Molecule: long non-coding RNA, 1434 nt
Organism: Phyllostomus discolor (pale spear-nosed bat)
Lineage: Eukaryota; Metazoa; Chordata; Mammalia; Chiroptera; Phyllostomidae
Exons: 2
Source: RefSeq, a predicted model, not a curated record
AGGGAUGUGCUGUGAGCUGCAAUUUUUCCAGCUGCAGGGCAGGGAGCCAGGAUGGGCAACUGGAAAGAGCAGGGGUGCUGGGAGCUGGUUCUGGGGACGGGUUUCAGCUAGGCAGCCACGGAUUCCCCGGAGCAGAACUGAAGCUAGACGGGGUCAGAUUGAGGUCAAGGACCUUCUGAGUUGGGGGUUCAUGGAGAGACCAAGGGACCUUAGGUCUUGUGGGACUGGGCCUCUGAGGGCCCCUAUCCACCUGAAAUUGAGAGGAGGCAGGGGAAUGGGUCCAGCAACUCCUCCUCAACUCUCCCCUACCCCGUGGGACCUGCUGCAUGUCCUCCCUGCUCUGACCCAAGUGGACCGAGGGGGAGGGGUGUCCCAUCACCUGCUCCUGACCACUGUUACAUAACCUGAAAAAUGGGCCCAACCAGGGCCUUCGGGUGUGUUGAUGUGCUAAUGAGACAUUAAGGAGCAAUUAGGUGCGGCUGUUCUGCCUCCCCGGUGACUCACCGGAGGCUGACGCAGCACUCAGGUCAACCUGGGAGCCCUUUCCCUGCCGCUCCGACAGCGACAGCGCCCGCCGCGCCUUCCCGUGCCCCUCAGUCCACAACAUCAAAGGUGCCUACUGGGUGGGGGCACUGUUCUGGGGAGGCGGCAACAAACAAGCCCAACAAAAGUCCCUGCCACUGAGGAAUUAAAAUUCUGCUGGAAGGAGACAAGAAACAAACAAAUCAGGAAAAUGUCUAUCCAUCACCCAAGAGCUUCCGGAACCUGUGACUGACCCAGAACUCUGGCUGGAGGGAGUCGAGCUGUGCAUCCAGGGAGGAGGGACACGGUCCGGUGCUGCCCUGGCUGCAGCAGGUGUCCACCUCAGAUUCUACCCCCCUCCCUGCAGGGUCGACACUGUCCCAUCAGUGGGUCCUGGGCACCACCACAUUUGUACUGGGAGCCCAUCUAAGCAAAGGGUCUGUGCUGGGUUGCUCCAGGCAAACGUCUGCCCCGUCACCUUCUGUCCCCUGGGCAUCUGCCCCCAGCCACCCACACCCCACCUCACCUGGGCAGUCAGGGGGGCUCUGGACCCAGACCAUCUGGUUCCCGGUCUGGCCCUACCACUUCCUUGGAUGCUGGAUGACCUUGGACAAGUUAUGUUAUUUAACAUCUCUGAGCUUCGAGUUCCUCCUUUUUUUUUAAUCUUCACCCAACUGGGGAUUGAACCCACCACCUAGGCAUGUGCCCUGACUGGGAAUUGAACACACCACCAUUUGGUUUACAGGACAAUGCUCCAAACAGCUGAGCCACAUCAGCUAGGACCAGGUUCCUCAUCUUAAUUUGCUAACAAUAGAACCUAUUUUACAGAGUUAUGGUGAGGAUGAAGUGCAAUUGGAGAGCUUUUGGAGAAGGAGGGAGCAAGUACUGAAUAAAUAUUAGCUGUUAUUAUUA